Salvia splendens (bonfire salvia) is the source of this 614-nucleotide long non-coding RNA. RefSeq lists it as uncharacterized. The record is from RefSeq and is a predicted model, not a curated record. The transcript is spliced from 2 exons. NCBI's taxonomy places the organism in Eukaryota, Viridiplantae, Streptophyta, Magnoliopsida, Lamiales, Lamiaceae.
CCGAGAUGAAUGGGAAGGAGGUGUCCAUACUUGGGCUCUCAUUUAAUUAGUUGGGCCAGUCAAUCAAUAAGGAGUUGGGCCAAGGAUUUAAUUUAAGUUGGGCCUGAGGAAAUUAAAGGAGGAGAAGAGCAGUUGGGCCGAGAAUUUCUUAUUGGGCUGAAGUCUUGGGUUGCAGAAAUAUUUGAAGAUAGAGUCGGACGGAAUUAUUUUACGAAGGAGCUUGGGCUGAAAUUAAUUUGGUCUUGUCCAAGAAUUCUAAUUAAGUUCUUGGGCAAUGAUUAAUUAGGGCAUGCAUUCUAGUUCUAAUUAAAGUUUAAGAAUUUCUCGAGUCUUAUUAGUACGUUGUUGUUUUCAAAAGGUUAUCUCCGCAAGUUAAGGGUGGAGUCGGGAAAAUCCAAGUUAAGGAGUUUUAAGCGAACGAGGUUGAGCAGUGAUGACGGCGGGCGGUGUUGAGCAUAGACGAUGAAGAUCCUUCGAUAGAAUAGUACUCGGAUGCGACGUGUCUCCAUACACGACGUUAUCUGCUCUUGACUCUUCUGCUGCAAUGUAAAAGUCGAGUUUGCGCUCUUUGUAUCGUGCACUCUGAUAUAUAUUAUUUGGGUUAUUUCAGUUCA